This 514-nucleotide ribosomal RNA is filed under the name Vreelandella aquamarina. RNAcentral's name for it is "bacterial SSU rRNA". It matches the Rfam family "Bacterial small subunit ribosomal RNA", at positions 33 to 548 of the family's 1533-position model. The record is from RNAcentral. Lineage: Bacteria; Pseudomonadati; Pseudomonadota; Gammaproteobacteria; Oceanospirillales; Halomonadaceae.
GUGCUGGCGCAGCUACCAUGCAGUCGAGCGGUAGCACAGAGAAGCUUGCUUCUUGGGUGACGAGCGGGGGACGGGUGAGUAAUGCAUAGGAAUCUGCCCGAUAGUGGGGGAUAACCUGGGGAAACCCAGGCUAAUACCGCAUACGUCCUACGGGAGAAAGGGGGCUUCGGCUCCCGCUAUGGGAUGAGCCUAUGUCGGAUUAGCUAGUUGGUGAGGUAACGGCUCACCAAGGCAACGAUCCGUAUCUGGUCUGAAAGGAUGAUCAACCACAUCGGGACUGAGACACGGCCCGAACUCCUACGGGAGGCAGCACUGGGGAAUAUUGGACAAUGGGCGCAAGCCUGAUCCAACCAUGCCGCGUGUGUGAAGAAGGCCCUCAGGUUGUAAAGCACUUUCAACGAGGAACAACGCCUAUCGGUUAAUACCCGCUAGGAAAGACAUCACUCGCAAAAGAAGCACCGGCUAACUCCGUGCCAGCAGCCGCGGUAAUACGGAGGGUGCAAGCGUUAAUCGG